Podarcis lilfordi (Lilford's wall lizard) is the source of this 79-nucleotide non-coding RNA. The record is from the annotation of a GenBank genome assembly. NCBI's taxonomy places the organism in Eukaryota, Metazoa, Chordata, Lepidosauria, Squamata, Lacertidae.
UUUGGGAGGAUGGCUCAGUCGGUAGAGCACGAGACUCUUAAUCUUGGGGUUGUGGGUUCGAGCCCCACGCUGGGCAAAA